RNAcentral lists this ribosomal RNA (374 nucleotides) under uncultured bacterium. RNAcentral describes it as "bacterial SSU rRNA". It matches the Rfam family "Bacterial small subunit ribosomal RNA", at positions 524 to 898 of the family's 1533-position model. The record is from RNAcentral.
UACGGAGGGUGCAAGCGUUAUCCGGAAUUACUGGGUUUAAAGGGUGCGUAGGCGGUUAUGUAAGUCAGCAAGUGAAAUUCCACAGCUUAACUGUAGGGACUGCUUUUGAUACUGCAUGACUUGAACCAAGAUGAGGUAGGCGGAAUGUGGCAUGUAGCGGUGAAAUGCAUAGAUAUGCCAUAGAACACCGAUUGCGAAGGCAGCUUACUAGACUUGAGUUGACGCUGAGGCACGAAAGCGUGGGGAGCGAACAGGAUUAGAUACCCUGGUAGUCCACGCCCUAAACGAUGCUAACUCGACGUGUGGGAGAGAUCUUGCGCGUCCAAGCGAAAGCGAUAAGUUAGCCACCUGGGGAGUACGUUCGCAAGAAUGAA